AUGAUAUGACAUGGUAUGAUAUGAGAUAGAGAAGACCAGGCGUGGCCUAAUCGCCCCUGGCAAUAUGUUAUAUGUAAGAGAAGACCAGGCGUGGCCUAAUCGCCCCUGGCAUAGUUGGACAUGUUAUGAUAAGAGUUAUGUAAGAGAAGACCAGGCGUGGCCUUAUCGCCCCUGGCACAGUUGGACAUGUAACGAUACGUAGAGGGCUAUUGGUGACAAGUUUAUCCUUGAUGUGAUAUGUUUGUGAUGUGA
RNAcentral lists this long non-coding RNA (252 nucleotides) under Manihot esculenta (cassava). RNAcentral's name for it is "long non-coding RNA (MESC_LNC007289)". The record is from RNAcentral. Lineage: Eukaryota; Viridiplantae; Streptophyta; Magnoliopsida; Malpighiales; Euphorbiaceae.